CCAUGCUCGUGGACAUUUGAAGAAACGACGCCCUCCAUCUAUCCCCUCUGUGUACAUCUGCACCAAACAAUCCUCACCAUGCAUGCAUUUUGGCCACUCUUCUUUUCGGUCAUCAUAUACCCUCAGUGGUGCCUCUUUAGUAAAAUCAUGUUUGCUCUCAAGGGAGAACCUAUCAUAAAUUGCUUCCUCAAAGUCUUUAGGACCAAGAGGACCCUCCCAAACAAAGGGAUUACCCUUCAUCGCCGCCUUUCCCUUUCCCUUCCCUCUAGACGACCC
RNAcentral lists this long non-coding RNA (276 nucleotides) under Sorghum bicolor (sorghum). Its description in RNAcentral is "long non-coding RNA (SBIC_LNC004227)". Lineage: Eukaryota; Viridiplantae; Streptophyta; Magnoliopsida; Poales; Poaceae. The record is from RNAcentral.